GCUCUGCAAUAGUUCCAGGAAGCUGUUGCAUUUCAUAAUAAAGUUUGUUUUCUAUCUGACUCUGCACCUAGAAUCAUUUAAGUGCAGGUCCACAGCCUGUAUUGAUACACAAGCAUAAAACUGCAGUCUUCUCUUUUCCAGUUGGACAUUUGAUUAUUUUAUUUCUUUAUGACUUUGGUUCUCACAAUUUCAUGAUGAAAAGCUUCUUCUUGUCUCUGCUAGUAGGUCUUCUUUUCAGUAAAGACUAUGUUAAACCCACAGAAAUAGAUGGGAAGAAGAAAUGGAAAGGUGAAGGUACCACAUCUAACCUGGAGAGCAUUGUAAUUGGAAGGUGUUAUGAAUAUAUUAGAAUUGUGAAUCCAAGUGUUGGUGAGAAGAACUGUACAGAGAUAUGGGAAGCUUUCAAAAAGGCUUUUAUUAAUAAAGAUCCUUGCAACAUUUUACCAUUGGACUAUGAGUUAUUUAUUAACCUGUCACUGCACACAAUUCCACCUAACAAGUCUCUGUUCUGGGAAAAUAACCAUCUGCUGGUCACUAGCUAUUCUGAUAGAACUCGUCGCUACAUGCCUCUGUGUGAUACUUUAAUUGGUUCAUUUGGAGAUUUCCUGAACUGGUGUGGACAAGCAAACGAUACUGGAUUUAAUUAUGAUUCCUGCCCUAACACAGAAGAGUGUGAAAAUAAUGCAGUAGAAUCUUUCUGGAAGAUUGCAUCAAUCACUUAUGCAAAGCAGAGCUCUGGGGUAAUAUACAUUAUGCUGAAUGGUUCUGCGAUAGGGGGUGCCUAUCCAGUCAAAGGUUUUUUUGCAGACUAUGAAGUGCCUAACUUCCAAAAAGACAGAAUUUCACGAAUUGAAAUCUGGGUCAUGGAUGACAUUGGGGGACCUGACUUGGAUUCCUGUGGGAGAGGCAGUGUACAAAUAUUAGAAGAAAGACUCAAAACUAUGGGUUAUGACAUCACCUGCAUUGACAAUUACAAAUCUGUACUGCUGUUAAAGUGCCUGGAUUAUCUUAAUCACUCUGAUUGUUCCAUUGUUUCGUCUGCACCUUCAACACAAAGAGGACUUGUAUCUCCCGCCAGAGGCGGCAGCUGGAGCAGGCUCAUUUACACGAUUUUUGUAGCAUUUGUUUUUGAGAUCUGCUUUAACCCACUGAAUUAAUGUACAUAAUUCAAUCCUUCUGUUUGCCUCCAUUGUCUGUAAAUUUGGCAUUAUCCUGUCUCUGAAUGUAAUUCCUCCCUUAAUUCCUGUGAUUGCAAGUCUGCCUAUUAGAACCUAUGUAACAUUGCCUUUGACUCCUCUGCUGCUGGAAGCCUCAUCCAUGCCUUCAUCUCUCCUUAUCUGGGUAACUCCCUCCUUGUCUGUGGCCUCACCCUAUUCCAGUUCUCCAGAAUCCCAUGAUGAAUGGUACUGCCCCUUUAUUCACCUGUCAGGAACCAGGGCCACACCACCCCUAUUCACAAAUAGCUUCAUUAUCUCCCUACCCAUUUUUGGAUCCGUUUUAAAACUGCCUUCUUGUUUUUGAAAGGUUUCCUUCUGCCUUAGGACCUUGGGCAUAAUUCUCCCCUGCCAUGCACCUUAUGUCAUCUGCACCUCUGAGAAGACUGGAAAACUGUUUUCAAUCCAGCUGCAGUGAGGAGACACCAAGCACAGUCUUGACUGUCUGCUGAGCUAGCUCCAUCUACAAUCUGAAGGUCCAGGGAGUCUGUCUAUCCCCAACCACUGAAACCUCCAGAUCACGCGGCACGUGGGCUGAUUUUUUGUGGCACACUGCUGCUAGCCGGGUUCCCAGCCGCCAGCCCCGUUCAGCCCGCUGCCAGCCUGGAAUACGAAACCCCAGACCAGCAGCGGGAUGAGCCCGCUGACAGUCUGGGGUUCUGUCUGUCACCCGUGCUGCCAGUCUGGCAGGUGAAACCUUUUACUGGCACACGUAAUCUUAAAUUAAUGAAGACUUGGCACACCACUUCUCAAAGGUUGCCAACCCCUGCUCCAGACUGUGGCUGUACCAUGUGGGAUAUAUCUAAGAAAAUUAAAAUACUUGCAUUUUCCUAAGAGAAUUUUACACU
This is an RNA transcript of Trachemys scripta elegans, 2062 nucleotides long. It is a transcript of the gene named ADP-ribosyl cyclase/cyclic ADP-ribose hydrolase 2-like, with no coding region annotated. The record is from RefSeq and is a predicted model, not a curated record. The transcript is spliced from 10 exons. NCBI's taxonomy places the organism in Eukaryota, Metazoa, Chordata, Testudines, Emydidae.